UAUAUAAAUGACGUCUUUGGAGGCCUGGUCAGCCCCAUGUUGUUUGAGAAACCUCCAUUGAUGUUACAUUUUAAUUUAUUGUAGAUUUAAAAGAAUGCUUUCGAAAACAUUAGGACAUGACCUUCUACCAGGGCAGAGUGAAGAAAAAGCAAAGACCAAGGCUCGGUUUGAAGAAGAUUAAGAGCUAUGCAGUUCAUCUACUGAUGAAAAUAAAUCAAAAAUGAAAAGCACCCAGCCUCAGGAUAGUUUUGCGCUUGAAACCUUGAAAAACAGCCUUGACCUGAAAAAAUGUGGAUGACAAGACCAUCAUCAACAACACCUACAAACAAGAAGUGGGGAGCCCUCAGUUCACAAAGAACAAGUUAAGAGAGAAAACCUUAACGACAGCAACAACAAUGCCCUGAUUGAAGAGGACAGAUAACCACCAAAGACCAUGAAGAAGGAUGUUAUUAAGGACCAGGGCUAGUGUGGGAAUCCUCAAUACAUCAUCAGCACUUCUUUUGAGAGAGAUGGCACAAACUGCUAAGGUUGCAAAAUCUGGAGGCUGAUGAAACCAUUCAGAAGCCUGAAAGAAGAAAGGCAAAAAAAAUGCUGCAAGAGUUAUCAAAGGACGAAGAGGAGGACGAGCAACUCUUCCAGAAAUAUCCACAUCAAAUUGCUGAAGUGUAAGCCAAGGAAAUAAAAAAAGAAAAAAAAAAACUAGAAAGAAGAUUGCUGAAACAAUGUCAGAUUCUACUGUGAGGCGGGCAAGAAGAAAAAGCAAAAAAAUGUGCUAAUUGCAACUGAAGGUGAAACAAGAUUGUAGGUAUUAAGAGUCCUAAAUGUGGAAGGGAAAUUCAGACUACAACUCUAUUGCCCACCUCCCAGAGGAAGGAUGCGGCUCAACACUGGAGGUGUUUUGAGUGGUGGAAAAGGUACCCAAGGAAUCGAUGCUCACCAACACUUUGUUAGUGAAAUGCUUAAAAUUGGAAGAUCAUUAUUUUUUCAGGUUGAUCCUUGUGAUCACUCAAUGAUGGCUCUACAUGAGGAGAGGAGUAAUACCUUAUACAGCGAACUUCAGAAUGAGGUCACAAAGGGUUAUAACCUCCAGGAGGAAAAGAGAAUUGAGUUUCUGAAGUGGAGCAGGCUGCCUGGCCAGAGAUUUGACAUAUCCCAAACAAGCCUUUGCUAUCCUUUCGAGGGGGCAGAUGGGCUGUUUCUGUGUCGCUUCUCCAAUGGUGGAAAAACAUUGGCAUGUGCUUGUGCUGACAAAGAUGGUUAUCCUAUUGUAGGAAAUGGGAUCUGAUCACCACCACCUACUAUUUCACACCGAAGUAUGAUGGCUAGCAAGAGGGAGAGUAUGACUUCCUUUUGGAGCUACGUGAGGUUAAAACAUUAUUAAUUGAUCCCCGGUCUAAUCAUGUAAACCACAUUCAUGAUUGCUCUUGGCUGGCUCUGCUUGCUUACCUAGUUGAUAUUUUUGACCAGAGGAAGUGUGGAUUACAGUGAUCUUAAAGCCUUCAUUGUUGAACAUCACAGGACUGAAACAGCAGUUUAGCGACUACUUACAGGAAGAUGGCUGUUCACUUGUCUGGGUUCAUGAUUCGUUCGUCACUUCAGUUGGUUCAACCUUCUUUCCGUGGAGAUGGAAGAACAGUUUAUUGAGCUGACAUGCGACAACAGACAGAAGCACAUUUCUGGCUCUCAGUUGCACAGGAAUUCCCUCAACUCUCUGCUGCUGCAGUGAACGUGCUCCUGCCUUUUGCUUCCACAUACCUCUGCGAAGCUGGAUUUUCCAAACUAGCAGUCUUGAAAACAAAAAUACUGAAAUUGGUUGAAGAGGACUUAAGACUCUCCCUUUCGACCAUUGAGCCUUGCACUGACCUGCUAUGCAUUACCAGGCAAGCUCAACUUUACCACUGACUGAAAUCAGCAGCACUAUACAUUUUGAUUUCUGAAAUGUGUUUUGUAUCUGGUGCUAUUUUUGUCUUGAUGGAGGCGGUGGCAAGUAAAAAAAAAAAAAAAAAAAAGAAAAAAAACGCUACGAUGUGGCACGAGUUAUAAAAGGUUGAGAACCCGUUUUAUGGUAAAUUGCUAUUAAUACCAGUAAAUGUGGAAUUUUGGUAUGUUGUCUAACAAUUUUGCUCAAAUUUGAUUUUUCAGCAUUUUAGUGUGUUUCCCACUUGUUAAUGUCUGUUUACUGCAACAAGUAAUGAUAACGAAAACUUAAGCAUUGAUGUACUAUUAAUUUUUACCAUCAGAUGGCAGUAUACCAUUG
Long non-coding RNA from Polyodon spathula (Mississippi paddlefish), 2257 nucleotides. RefSeq lists it as uncharacterized. NCBI's taxonomy places the organism in Eukaryota, Metazoa, Chordata, Actinopteri, Acipenseriformes, Polyodontidae. The transcript has 7 exons. The record is from RefSeq and is a predicted model, not a curated record.